RNAcentral lists this transfer RNA (72 nucleotides) under Nannophya pygmaea. RNAcentral describes it as "tRNA-Lys". The record is from RNAcentral. Lineage: Eukaryota; Metazoa; Arthropoda; Insecta; Odonata; Libellulidae.
CAUUGGAUGGCUGAAAGUAAGUAUUGGUCUCUUAAACCAACUAAUAGUAAGGUAACGAUAUACUUCCAAUGA